GCGCGAGUGGUGGAAUAGGCAGACACGCAGGAUUUAGGUUCCUGUGCCGGGGAGGCGUGCGGGUUCAAGUCCCGCCUCGCGCA
This 83-nucleotide transfer RNA is filed under the name Rothia koreensis. Its description in RNAcentral is "Kocuria koreensis tRNA-Leu". It matches the Rfam family "tRNA". Rfam says of the family: Transfer RNA (tRNA) molecules are approximately 80 nucleotides in length. The record is from RNAcentral. Lineage: Bacteria; Bacillati; Actinomycetota; Actinomycetes; Micrococcales; Micrococcaceae.